AACUUGCUGAAGGCCUUAUGUUCUUCAUCCAAUAAAAAUGUGAGUUUGUUCUCACUACCUGUUGUAGACGAGCGGAAUGUGCCCUGAGAGGCAAUCUAGUUUGAUAUGAAUGGUCAAGAGUCCACAAACUUUAUCGAGUGAUAUAGUGAUAUACAAGCACCUCUUUGAAGCUUUCCUGUAAGAAAAAAAGCCAAAGUCUGCACCUCUGGAGGGAUUCUGCUUUUAGCCAGAGGUAAAUUCAGAGCCAUAUUUUUUCAACCUGCCAUCUUUUAUCCUGUAUGUUGCCACCAGAUUUACAACUGCCAAAAUUAAGGCUGGAAAACUGAAAGUUUGUUAGAAAAAAAAAAUGGAGUUAGGCAGGAAAUAUGAAAACAGAAAAUCAUAUCUUUGAUGGACUAAAGUUCAUGUAGGCCAUUAUCCUCCCUUGGAUCAAAGCCAGUGUUACAGGAAAUGAUAAAAAGCUGCAGUAAUUUGGCCCCAGAGCUCAUACUGAUCUCUGACAGAUUGUCUGAACACAAAAUGCAUUAUUUGUUCUAACACAUUUAUUGUUGUCAGUUGUGGAUAAAUAUAUUUCUGACAUUUAUAAAAGUAUAUAGACUAUUUAUUUACACACAAAAACAAAAAUUUGACCUUUAUAUCUUCUUUCUGUAAUCAGUUUUCCAGUGUGGUCUUGUGAUCAGGAUGCAUCAGCGGAAAACUUAACGGAGAAAAAGCCCAUGAAUUCUUGAACUCCAUCAGUGCCCAGAAAAGUAUUUUUAUAAGGGAAUGUUCUAGGACUUCUUUGUGGACUGAUGUGCGCAAACUGUGCUUAGUGACUUGUGAAUCAAGCACAGCCCCUGAGAUCAGAGGCAAUGCUCACCCCACACAUACAGCACUGUUGACAUCAACAAAACUCCCUGUGUGAAUAACUUGGAUCCUGCAGAAAAUUUGAGGUUGAAACUGGGAUUUAUAAAAAUUGCCCAGUUACAUAAAAUAGAUUUUUGUUACAGGAAAUAUUUAACUAAGUCAAGUUUUUCUUAGAAUUAGUAACUUCUGCUUAGUAACUUCCGCUUUUUGGUAUCACAGUUUACAUUACUGUGUCUGUUACCAGAGAAACGGAAUACGGUUGUUGCUAUGGGAACAUGUGGUGUGCUAUAAACAAGCUGCACAGCAAUAACUUAAUUUGAAUGCCAUUAUUGUAUGCUACUCUAAGCAAAUGGUAAAUAUGAAUUGAAAGAGAAUUUGAACAAUUUUGAAUAUUUUUUAUGGUAUCGUUUGGCUGUUAUUUUAACGCACAUCUUACUAAAAGUCCAGCAAGAAAAAUCAUCAAGUCUUUCCAAAAGUAUGAAGUAAUAGUUUAAGGAGAUUAAAAUCCUGAUUCUGUCUUUUUUAAUCUGGCUAUGUAACUUAAACUCCGAGCCUCAUAUUUCACUUGAAUGAAAUCAUAUUUAUUUGGUUUUAGAAGUCAGAUGAAAUAUAUGCAGUUCAAGGUACUAUUUUAAAAAAUUGUUAUUGUUCAAAUUAUUACUCGAAAUACUUAUUUGAAUGCAAAAAUGUACCCAGAAUGUACUCCUCAUUUCCGUACAUCUGUUCACUGAAAAAUUAGCAGUCUCACCUGAAAUUGUAUGUCUCAAAUAUGCAUAUUGUGUAUGAUCACAAGCUUAUGAGAGCCAUAAUAUAUUUGAUAUUUUAAAUAUUUUAUUAAAGAUUGUUUAAAUGCUUAAAAUAUUGUAAUUAUAGCAAAUACCUGAUUCCCACCACAGUCUGGAUAUGGCAUUUAAAAUUGUUUAUCUUUGUAUUCCAAAUGAAAAGAAACUAUUUUUAAGAUGAUCUGAGGAUCACUGCUGUGCUUUUCAUGUAUACAUAGGUUUAAAAAGAGAAACAGUUUUAUUUUCUGUGUUUGGCUUGAUAAAACAUUAUGAAGA
Long non-coding RNA from Coturnix japonica (Japanese quail), 1904 nucleotides. The record is from Ensembl. NCBI's taxonomy places the organism in Eukaryota, Metazoa, Chordata, Aves, Galliformes, Phasianidae.